Non-coding RNA from Actinomyces johnsonii F0510, 59 nucleotides. The record is from Rfam. NCBI's taxonomy places the organism in Bacteria, Bacillati, Actinomycetota, Actinomycetes, Actinomycetales, Actinomycetaceae.
CAUCGGCACCUUUCACGACGGAUCGUCCGGCACGUACCUGCCGGUGAAGGGAAGCACCA